Molecule: long non-coding RNA, 481 nt
Organism: Helianthus annuus (common sunflower)
Lineage: Eukaryota; Viridiplantae; Streptophyta; Magnoliopsida; Asterales; Asteraceae
Exons: 3
Source: RefSeq, a predicted model, not a curated record
UACACACCCGCCAUAUCUCCCUCUCAUCUCUCUCUCUCUAACACAAUGUCCGGUCGCCGGAGAAACAGCUCUAACAUGAUAAGUACACCUGACCGUUUUAGUUAUCCUCUGUCACCGUCGCCGAGCUCCUAUUCUACCUACUCGUCGGAAAAGUCAACUUCUGGCCGGAGCCGAUUCAAAGGUGUUGCAAGAUCCGUUGCCGGAGUUUUUGUUGCUUGUUUUUCUCCGCCGGAUGAGGACUCGCAUCACCAUAUCUCCUCCGCAUACGGUGGAUCUGAUGCAUUUAGUUCAACAUCAGGACGUGGUUGGCCAAAACUGUUAAACAAGUAAACUAUCUGCCGAGCAAACCGAGAUCUACAGGUACAGCUGCGGACGGACGUUGCAAACGGAUGGAGUGUGUGUGGUUUGGAAGGUGGUACGUUUUGUACAUUUGUUUAAAUUGUGGUUUCCAACCGUGAUAAGUUUAUUUUACAUUUCCGCU